This 648-nucleotide ribosomal RNA is filed under the name uncultured Symbiodinium. Its description in RNAcentral is "partial Bacterial large subunit ribosomal RNA". It matches the Rfam family "Bacterial large subunit ribosomal RNA", at positions 181 to 881 of the family's 2925-position model. Lineage: Eukaryota; Dinophyceae; Suessiales; Symbiodiniaceae. The record is from RNAcentral.
AACCCGGGGAACUGAAACAUCUCAGUACCCGGAGGAAAGGACAUCAACCGAGACUCCGCUAGUAGUGGCGAGCGAACGCGGACCAGGCCAGUGCCUCAAUUGAAUUAACCGGAACCGUCUGGAAAGUCGGGCCGUAGCGGGUGACAGCCCCGUACGGGUAGUGCUCGAUAUGAUCCUCGAGUAGGGCGGGGCACGUGAAACCCUGCCUGAACGUGGGGGGACCACCCUCCAAGCCUAAGUACUCCUUGCCGACCGAUAGCGAACCAGUACCGUGAGGGAAAGGUGAAAAGCACCCCGAUGAGGGGAGUGAAAUAGAGCCUGAAACCGAAUGCCUACAAUCUGUGGGAGCCUCCUUGAGGGGUGACCGCGUACCUUUUGUAUAAUGGGUCAGCGAGUUAAUUUUGCGAGCAAGCUUAAGCCGUUAGGUGUAGGCGUAGCGAAAGCGAGUCUUAAUAGGGCGACUAAGUUUGUUGGAUUAGACCCGAAACCGAGUGAUCUAGGUAUGAGCAGGUUGAAGGUGCAGUAACAUGCACUGGAGGACCGAACCCACGCCUGUUGAAAAAGGCGGGGAUGACUUGUGCCUAGGGGUGAAAGGCCAAUCAAACUCGGAAAUAGCUGGUUCUCCGCGAAAUCUAUUUAGGUAGAGCG